AUACGUAGGGUGCGAGCGUUGUCCGGAAUUACUGGGCGUAAAGAGCUCGUAGGUGGUUUGUCGCGUCGUCUGUGAAAUUCCGGGGCUUAACUCCGGGCGUGCAGGCGAUACGGGCAUAACUUGAGUACUGUAGGGGAGACUGGAAUUCCUGGUGUAGCGGUGACAUGCGCAGAUAUCAGGAGGAACACCGGUGGCGAAGGGGGGUCUCUGGGCAGUAACUGACGCUGAGGAGCGAAAGCAUGGGUAGCGAACAGGAUUAGAUACCCUGGUAGUCCAUGCCGUAAACGGUGGGCGCUAGGUGUAGGGGUCUUCCACGACUUCUGUGCCGUAGCUAACGCAUUAAGCGCCCCGCCUGGGGAGUACGGCCGCAAGGCUAAAACUCAAAUGAAUUGACGGGG
RNAcentral lists this ribosomal RNA (398 nucleotides) under uncultured bacterium. RNAcentral describes it as "partial 16S ribosomal RNA". It matches the Rfam family "Bacterial small subunit ribosomal RNA", at positions 523 to 918 of the family's 1533-position model. The record is from RNAcentral.